RNAcentral lists this transfer RNA (72 nucleotides) under Bos taurus (domestic cattle). It matches the Rfam family "tRNA". From Rfam's summary of the family: Transfer RNA (tRNA) molecules are approximately 80 nucleotides in length. Their secondary structure includes four short double-helical elements and three loops (D, anti-codon, and T loops). Further hydrogen bonds mediate the characteristic L-shaped molecular structure. tRNAs have two regions of fundamental functional importance: the anti-codon, which is responsible for specific mRNA codon recognition, and the 3' end, to which the tRNAs corresponding amino acid is attached (by aminoacyl-tRNA synthetases). tRNAs cope with the degeneracy of the genetic code in two manners: having more than one tRNA (with a specific anti-codon) for a particular amino acid; and 'wobble' base-pairing, i.e. permitting non-standard base-pairing at the 3rd anti-codon position. The record is from Rfam by way of RNAcentral. RNAcentral also lists the same sequence under 5 other names. Lineage: Eukaryota; Metazoa; Chordata; Mammalia; Artiodactyla; Bovidae.
CCCUGAACAGCUCAGUUGGUAAAGAAUCUGCCUGCAAUGCAGGAGACCCUGGUUCGAUUCCUGGGUUGGGAA